Molecule: small nucleolar RNA, 83 nt
Organism: Phragmites australis (common reed)
Lineage: Eukaryota; Viridiplantae; Streptophyta; Magnoliopsida; Poales; Poaceae
Product: small nucleolar RNA SNORD34
Exons: 1
Source: RefSeq, a predicted model, not a curated record
UUUACCUAUGAUGAGUUGCAAAAUUCAUUGCCUACAUUGUUUGACCAACCCUGUGAGAAAAUUGUGCAACGUCUGAGGAUGAA